UCAUGGCAAGCGUUGUCCGGCCUGAGCUUGAUCCUGGCUCAGGACGAACGCUGGCGGCGUGCCUAAUACAUGCAAGUCGAGCGCAGGAAACCGGCGGAACCCUUCGGGGGGAAGCCGGUGGAAUGAGCGGCGGACGGGUGAGUAACACGUGGGCAACCUGCCUUUCAGACUGGGAUAACCCCGGGAAACCGGGGCUAAUACCGGAUGACCAGUCGGUUCGCAUGAACCGGCUGUAAAAGAGGGGAGUUUUCUCCUCUCACUGAAAGAUGGGCCCGCGGCGCAUUAGCUAGUUGGUAAGGUAGUGGCUUACCAAGGCGACGAUGCGUAGCCGACCUGAGAGGGUGAUCGGCCACACUGGAACUGAGACACGGUCCAGACUCCUACGGGAGGCAGCAGUAGGGAAUCAUCCGCAAUGGGCGAAAGCCUGACGGUGCAACGCCGCGUGAACGACGAAGGUUUUCGGAUCGUAAAGUUCUGUUGUGAGGGAAGAACACGUGCCGGUCAAACAGGCCGGCGCACAUGUGAGUCUGGUACGCUGCACUGAGAAA
RNAcentral lists this ribosomal RNA (548 nucleotides) under Bacillus sp. M13-C9. RNAcentral describes it as "bacterial SSU rRNA". It matches the Rfam family "Bacterial small subunit ribosomal RNA", at positions 1 to 474 of the family's 1533-position model. Lineage: Bacteria; Bacillati; Bacillota; Bacilli; Caryophanales; Bacillaceae. The record is from RNAcentral.